CACGUAGGGUGCGAGCGUUGUCCGGAAUUAUUGGGCGUAAAGAGCUCGUAGGCGGCUUGUCGCGUCGUUCGUGAAAACCCGGGGCUCAACCCCGGGCCUGCAUUCGAUACGGGCAGACUAGAGUUCGGUAGGGGAGUCUGGAAUUCCUGGUGUAGCGGUGAAAUGCGCAGAUAUCAGGAGGAACACCGGUGGCGAAGGCGGGACUCUGGGCCGAUACUGACGCUGAGGAGUGAAAGCGUGGGGAGCAAACAGG
This 253-nucleotide ribosomal RNA is filed under the name uncultured bacterium. RNAcentral's name for it is "partial 16S ribosomal RNA". It matches the Rfam family "Bacterial small subunit ribosomal RNA", at positions 524 to 776 of the family's 1533-position model. The record is from RNAcentral.